Long non-coding RNA from Leucoraja erinaceus (little skate), 2972 nucleotides. RefSeq lists it as uncharacterized. The record is from RefSeq and is a predicted model, not a curated record. Lineage: Eukaryota; Metazoa; Chordata; Chondrichthyes; Rajiformes; Rajidae. The transcript has 4 exons.
CACAACAACCUCAACAGCCUUUCGCCCAAAUCUCCUCUAGUCUCAGCCUUUCAUUAUUAUUUAAACAAAAAUCUCCUACCUCCGUAACCUGAGACAGUUUUAGUUUCCAAAUUAAAUGAUGGAAGUGUUUGUCAAAACUGGAAGCUGUGAACUGCAUUUCGAAAGGAACAGAACAAAGGGAGAAGAGUGUUAAAAUAUGCACCUACAAAAAUCAGUUUGAAGAGACUCUCAAGUCCCAACGGUAAUGAAGAAAAUUGAGGGCAAUUGCUGCUGAGGGCUGAGAUACAAGAUCAGAAGAGCUGUCAGCUGUGGCUUAUAGUUUGCCAAAAUAGAGUACAACCUUGCAUAAUCCAGGAAAUGAUCAUCUGAUGUACUAUCAUCUCCUUCAUUCAACAACUAGGAAUAUAAAAGCCCAGAAUCUCCUAGCAACAGCUAGCUGGAGGAACAAUGGGACUAAAGUUGACAGUCUCUGAAAAUAGAUGCAAAUAUCACAAUUGCUGAUUAACUCAUGACUCUUGACUGUAGAACAGUAUGUUUUUGUUAUCUGUUCGUAUCAAUGCUUUUAGACUCAAGACUGCGCUAGCGCUAUUGACUUGACAGGGCAAAUCAGCAAAGGAGCGACAUUGUGACAAGUCCACACCAGCUACAGGUGGCAAGAACUUCUUAAACCAGAGGUGCAAACACUGGCCAUCAAGCAGGAAUUAAGCUGACCUGGAAGAGGGCACCGCACUAUAGACCUUGGCGUACUAGGUGCAAAGUAACAUGUCGAUGUGCAGGAAGCCAUUAUGCUUUCCAGACAUGCCCAUAAACUAUUUCUAUUGAUGUACAUCAUCCAGGGUAAGGAGUACCAGCAAUUCACUACCCUCUGAAAUCUCCCAGUAUCUCUCUCAAAACCUACACUACUGCACACAUCUUUGUAUCAUCAGUAAACUUGGAUUUAUCACAUCUGAUCCUCUCAUCCAAGUCAAUGAUAUAGAUUUGUAAAUAACAGGACCAACAAUACCAAUCCUUGUGGCAUCUUCUUACUGCAUAUAGGCAGUGAUUGAAAAAUACAACUAUGACAAAGAGUGCUGUACAGAGCUGGUUGGGGGAGGCAUAGGAGUGACUGGAACCGAAUGGACAAUAGACUGGAUGAUGUUCUAGACAUGGUCCUGAAUGAUCAGCCAUUGUUCAGUAACGAUUGGCAAUAACACCUCUUCUUCGCUGAGCAUAAGCACAAAUGCACCCCAGAGCUGUGUGCUCAGCCCCCUGCUCUACUCUACACCCAUUAUUAUAAAGCCAGACACAGCCGAAUACCAUUUUAAAAUUUACCAUCAUUGGAUGAAUAACCAGAAACGAUUAAUCAGAAUAAAGAUCAAUAAACUGUUGAGCGGUGCCAGAACAACAAACUUACUCUUAACGUUAGCAAGACCAAGGAGCUAAUUGUUGAUUUCUGUAAUGAACUAAGACACCAUACACCUUCCUUCACAGAUGGGGCAAUGGUGGAAAGAGUUAACAGCUUCAGGUUCCUGAGCAAGCACAUUGUUGAGGAUAUAGCCUGGGCCCACCACAUUGAUGCAAUCACAAAGAAAGCUCACCAAUGCUUCUACUUCCUCAAAAGUUUGAGGAACUUGUUGCCAAAUACUCUUCCGAACAUCUACAGGUGCACAGAGGAGAGCAUACAGACAUCAUAGCACAUUUUGGAAAUUAAAAGGUUCAAGAAUGAAGAAGGUUGCAGAAAGUGAUGGACAACGCCAAUUCAUCAUGGGCACUGAUUUCCCCACCAUCAAAAGGAUCUACAGGAAGUGCUGCCCAAGAAAGCAGCUAAUAUGAUCAAAGACCCAUGCAAUCCUGGCCAUACUCUCUUCUCACUGUUACCACCAGGAAGAAGGUACUGGAGCCUGAGAACUUUUACCUCUAGCUUCAGGAACAGCAAACAUAACAUUCUUGAACCAUCCUGCACAACCCAUGGUCAGGUGCAUUGAUAGUAAAGGUUUAGAGGGAUAUGGGCCAAACGCAGGCAGGUUAGCUUAGAUGGGGCAUCUUGGUCAGCAUGGACAAGUUGGCCUGAAGGGCCUGUUUCCGUGCUCUAUGACUUGAUAAUCCCAACCAUAACCCCACCUCAGCAUUGAAUUACAGUUGUUCCACAUACUUUGAAUUGUGCACUAUCAUGGUCUUGUUUACUUAGAAUAAAUUAUAAUUUCUUGUACAUUUAUUGUUAUUGUUGUAUCUAAUGCAAGGAUGCAGUAAGUAUGAAUUUCAAUGUCCCUAUUCUUAUCUGGCGUAUAUGACAAACACUCUUGAUCUUGACCCCAGUGGUCAAUAGACAACCAUUAGGAAACUAAAUGCAUUGACACAUGAAAAUUAAAGAUCUGCUUAAAAUGCUCAAUGACAACCAGUACAUCCUCAAAUGAUCUAUCACACACUCUUUGCAAUUGCCAAAAUCCAAUCAUGCCAAAAUUUAAACAGAUACAGGGUACCUUAAUUCUGGAAAUCUUACCAAUAGUGUGUGCUUCUUCAGUUCAACACUAGAUGGAAACGGUGACCCAGUAACAGACGUAGCAGUACUAUGAUGGGGCUGCCAGGCGGCGCUGUCCGAGUGUUUAUUGUUGUAAAUGUUUUUAUUUCUGCACAUGUUUACGAGCUAAGUUAUUUUCAACGGCUUUUAGGGUGUAGGGAGGCGCGAACAAUAAACGUGCAUUCCGUUUGGAAUAUAUAUAUUUGUUCAGGUUGUCUUAAUUUUACACAUAAGGAACUGCAGAUUCUGGUUUACAAAAAAGACACAAUGUCCUGGAGUAACUCAGCAGCAGCAUCUCUCGAGGACAUAGAUAGGCGACGUUUCGAAUUGGGACUUCUUCAGAAGGGUUGAACGCCUUCAGAAUGCCUGUCCACGUCUUCCAGAGAUGCUGCCUGACCCGCUGAGCUGUCCAGCACUUUGUGUGUGUGUGUUUUUCAAUUUUACACACCACGUGAUUUAAAGAUACUUGCAAACA